UACAGCUAUAUCACUUUGAGACACCGGUUCUCGUCCGAUCACCGAAGUUAAGCAACAUCGAGCCUGGUCAGUACCGAGAUAGGUGACCGCUUGGGAAUACCAGGUGCCGUAC
This 112-nucleotide ribosomal RNA is filed under the name Acanthosepion pharaonis. The record is from RNAcentral. Lineage: Eukaryota; Metazoa; Mollusca; Cephalopoda; Sepiida; Sepiidae.